Molecule: ribosomal RNA, 368 nt
Filed under: uncultured bacterium
Lineage: Bacteria
Description: bacterial SSU rRNA
Rfam family: Bacterial small subunit ribosomal RNA
Source: RNAcentral
GAUGAACGCUGGCGGCGUGCCUAAUACAUGCAAGUCGAACGAGGUCUUCGGACCGAGUGGCGAACGGGUGAGUAACACGUUGGUACCUACCCCGAAGUGGGGAAUAACUGGCCGAAAGGUCGGCUAAUACCGCAUAAUACCGCAAGGUUAAAGCAGUAAUGCGCUUCGGGAGGGGCCUGCGUCCCAUUAGCUAGUUGGUGAGGUAAUUGCUCACCAAGGCAACGAUGGGUAGCUGGAUCGAGAGGUUGACCAGCCACACUGGGACUGAGAUACGGCCCAGACUCCUACGGGAGGCAGCAGUAAGGAAUCUUCCACAAUGGACGAAAGUCUGAUGGAGCAACGCCGCGUGCAGGAUGACGGCCUUGGUU